UGAGCACCGUGCAGGGUGAAGAAGAGGACAGAAGAGUGUCUCACCACAGCGAUAGGAUAAAAGUUAAGCAUAAAAAAAAAGAGAGAGUGUGUAAAAACUCUUGUGCGUUUGUGAAAGUGUUGCUGGAAUAAUGAAAUAUUUAGUCCACCCGGCCUGUGGAAAGUAUUGUACCGUCGCCUGAGGGACACGCCUGCCUUUUAGGUAUGAUAAUUAUCUCUGAGAGCAGCUUCAUCUCCAGGGUUUCCUGAUGAAACCCUCCCUGGUGCUGCAGAGAAACAGGUUAGCGGUUGGCUACAGACACCAACAUGUCAGGGGACAGUUCACAUUCUGUCUGUUGUGUUUAAUGACGAGGAUAAAAGUGUGAGGCGACGGGGACCUUUGUCCUUGAAAACACGCCAUCAGUCUUGUCACCAAUGAGCCCUCAGGAAACACCGUGUGGCCACUAAUUUGAGUCUCAAUGCACUUAAUAAGUGCAGGGUUAUGUUGAGCAAGAAGUGUGUGUGUGGUAGUGAGAGAGAGUGAGAGAGGGAGAGAGAGAGGGUUCUGAUGCUCCAGAGAAGAAGUGAGACAGAUGGAUAACAGAGCGCUGCCUCUGUGGUUCUGGACCUGGGGUAGUGCUAAUUACAUCUUGAUUAAAAAAUGACCUGUCUGUCUGAUUGUCCAUGUGCUGAGAGAUAGACCUGAGACAGGUGUGUGUGUGUGUUACUCUACGAUCUGUGUGACAGGAAAAACACCGGUGAUGAAUUACGUAUAUUUUUGGGUCCUGACGAAGUCACUCUGUGUCCAUUAAAUUCUCUUUUAAAUUCUAUCUAGAAUUCACACCUCGUAAUUCAAUUUUUCUCAAUUUUGAAAGGUCGCUCUGAGUCGGAAACAAAGAAAGAAGUGAAAGGAGAUUCUUGAGACUAAGAGAUGGAAAAACAAGUUCUUCAGAGAAGGUGAACUCAUCUUGGUUAAGACGUGGAAACGAACACCGGACUUCCUCCUCGUGACCCUGAAAUGGUCCAUUGAUACAACGUUCUGAUAUGUAUGCAGCACAUCCAGUCUCUGUGAAGAUUUAUCGGACUCAUUUGAACCAAACUAAGAGGCGACAGGAGCCGCGUGAGUAGAAUACUCUGUUUGGCCGGUGUCUAUGGAGAAGGCGGCGGACGCAAUCGUCCAGGCUCCAUCCCCGCGGACGGCGCCCUGUGGUCAUGGCUGUGUGAGGUGGAGGAUUGUACUGUAGAGAUGCCAGAUAAUUGGUCCCCUGAAAACCAGGUCCUCACAAGGGAGUGAAUGUGAGUACACACACACACACACACACACACACACAUACACACACUUAGACAAUGUCAAUGCACAUCAGUGCUGUGACCAGAUUAACAGCCCCGGGGGCAGGACUGCUGGUACCUGCUCAAGCCUCAGUGCACGUCACUGAACACUGUCACACUGUCACAGCGCUGGUAAACAGUCACUCCGACCAACCCUCCGGACAUCAACUCUCCUCCACAUCCCAUCCACGUCCACAAGGGGGUUACACGGUUACGUGGCCCCCCCGAGGCUGCGAUA
Molecule: long non-coding RNA, 1545 nt
Organism: Cynoglossus semilaevis (tongue sole)
Lineage: Eukaryota; Metazoa; Chordata; Actinopteri; Pleuronectiformes; Cynoglossidae
Exons: 5
Source: RefSeq, a predicted model, not a curated record